GACGAAGGGGGCUAGCGUUGCUCGGAAUCACUGGGCGUAAAGCGCACGUAGGCGGAUUGCUAAGUCAGGGGUGAAAUCCCGGAGCUCAACUCCGGAACUGCCUUUGAUACUGGCGAUCUUGAGUUCGGGAGAGGUGAGUGGAACUGCGAGUGUAGAGGUGAAAUUCGUAGAUAUUCGCAAGAACACCAGUGGCGAAGGCGGCUCACUGGCCCGAUACUGACGCUGAUGCGCGAAAGCGUGGGGAGCAAACAGG
RNAcentral lists this ribosomal RNA (253 nucleotides) under uncultured bacterium. Its description in RNAcentral is "partial 16S ribosomal RNA". It matches the Rfam family "Bacterial small subunit ribosomal RNA", at positions 524 to 776 of the family's 1533-position model. The record is from RNAcentral.